This is a long non-coding RNA of Aethalodelphis obliquidens (Pacific white-sided dolphin), 1130 nucleotides long. RefSeq lists it as uncharacterized. The record is from RefSeq and is a predicted model, not a curated record. Lineage: Eukaryota; Metazoa; Chordata; Mammalia; Artiodactyla; Delphinidae. The transcript has 3 exons.
GCUCCGGGCGAGGCGGAAGUUCUCGCCCAGAGGCCGCCGGGAACCCCGCGCCGCGGCUGCCGCUUUGAUUUCCAGCAAUGGCUCCGGGGCCAGAGCCGGUGCAGCCGGGGCCGCUGCCAGCUCGCAGCAGCAGUCGGUACACUAAAAUCCCGGGAAAGUGAAAACGCUUCCUUCGCGACCUCUUUGCGCAGAGCUGGUUAGACCCCGGAACCUCUCCAGCCGUGGUUACGAACCCCAACGCCGGCCUUCGCCGGCGGACACCCCCGACUCCCAGGUCUGCGGGACAAAAGGCAGCGGUGCCGUCUCGUGCGCUUUCCCACGCGGUCCACUGAAAACCUAAUUGCCUGAAAAAAGUUGCACUUCGUCGCCAGAGGAACAGCCGAGAGCCAGAGAUCGAGAUUUCAGAGUCCGGUGCUGCCACGUUUUUACUGAUCCUUUAGCCCCAACGGAACGAAACAGAGGUGCCUUUUUGCUACCAGCUAAUUACCUUCACAUGAACAAGAAAUGUAGUACAAGCUCCACGUUUGUCCUCUCAAUAGUCGAUCCUCCCUAACCCAGUACCCAAAGGCUCUAGAAAAUGAGGGGGAUGGGUUCCCGAAAACAAAAAAAGCUUUCCGCCAGCACUGCCUCUGCAUCCAGUCCACCCAAGCUGGUAUUUGUAUAUUAGCUAUAGAAUGGGCCGGAGUGGGUGGUAAGUGAAGGCUAGGGUGACGGCGACGGACCUCACGUCCACGUCCCAAGAGCGCCCGGCAGGUCCAAGUUCGCGGUCCGUGCGGAGAGCGCGCGCUUUGCCGGGUGCCCGGACUAGAGGGCGCUGCGCCACUGCAGAUCACGCGGCACCCAAUGCGCCCUCCCUGGGCACCAUUUCUAUAAUAAGUUACAUUUGAAAUAAUGCACAAACAGCAUAGCUUUUCAAGUUCUUUUGAACAGUGCUUUGUAAGUAUUUUAUGAAUUCCAAAACCUAUGCAUACUGAUCUUUCAUUCCCGAGUCAAGCACAGCCAGGGCGGGUGUGCAGCUCGCCGAGCGGAAAGCCGGUAGGAUGCACACGCUUCCCUGUACUAGUCAAACACCCCACGCAAUUUCAUUAACGUUUAAACUUAAAUACGGAAAGACUUGCACUCAAGAAAGA